This 274-nucleotide ribosomal RNA is filed under the name uncultured bacterium. RNAcentral's name for it is "partial 16S ribosomal RNA". It matches the Rfam family "Bacterial small subunit ribosomal RNA", at positions 523 to 796 of the family's 1533-position model. The record is from RNAcentral.
AUACGGAGGGGGUUAGCGUUGUUCGGAAUUACUGGGCGUAAAGCGCACGUAGGCGGACUGGAAAGUUGGGGGUGAAAUCCCGGGGCUCAACCCCGGAACUGCCUCCAAAACUUCCAAUCUAGAGAUCGAGAGAGGUGAGUGGAAUUCCAAGUGUAGAGGUGAAAUUCGUAGAUAUUUGGAGGAACACCAGUGGCGAAGGCGGCUCACUGGCUCGAUACUGACGCUGAGGUGCGAAAGCGUGGGGAACAAACAGGAUUAGAUACCCCAGUAGUCC